UGGGGACACUCUACUCAUCUGUGGGGCCACAGAAGACAGGACAGUGACUACCACCACCAUGGCCUGGUCCCCUCUCCUCCUCACCCUGCUGGCUCACUGCACAGGGUCCUGGGCCCAGUCUGUGCUGACUCAGCCGCCCUCCGUGUCUGGAUCCCCGGGCCAGAAGUUCACCAUCUCCUGCACUGGAAGUAGCAGCAACAUCGGGGAUAAUUAUGUAAACUGGUACCAACAUCUGCCAGGAACGGCCCCCAAACUCCUGAUCUACAGUAACAGCAAUAGGGCCUCGGGGGUCCCGGACCGCUUCUCUGGCUCCAAGUCUGGCAGCUCGGCCUCCCUGACCAUCACUGGGCUCCAGGCUGAGGACGAGGCUGACUAUUACUGCUCAUCCUGGGAUGACAGCCUCAGUGGUCACACAGUGCUCCAGGCCCAUGGGGAAGUGAGACAGAAACCUGCUGUCCCCCAGCCAUGGGGCUCCCUGGGCAGAGACUCCCUCUGCCAAGUCAGCUGCUUCCUUUGUUUGCUUGGCAAAGAAACAAACCCCAGUGAACUUACUCUAAGAGACACCAGAACUGUUUCCUAG
Vicugna pacos (alpaca) is the source of this 580-nucleotide non-coding RNA. The record is from the annotation of a RefSeq genome assembly. Lineage: Eukaryota; Metazoa; Chordata; Mammalia; Artiodactyla; Camelidae.